RNAcentral lists this unclassified non-coding RNA (348 nucleotides) under soil metagenome. RNAcentral describes it as "partial contains 5.8S ribosomal RNA, internal transcribed spacer 2, and large subunit ribosomal RNA". The stretch from base 1 to 120 matches the Rfam family "5.8S ribosomal RNA", at positions 35 to 154 of the family's 154-position model. The record is from RNAcentral.
GAUGAAGAACGUAGCGAAAUGCGAUAAGUAAUGUGAAUUGCAGAAUUCAGUGAAUCAUCGAAUCUUUGAACGCACAUUGCGCCCGCCAGUAUUCUGGCGGGCAUGCCUGUCUGAGCGUCAUUUCAACCCUCAUGCCCCUAGGGCGUGGUGUUGGGGAUCGGCCAAAGCCCGCGAGGGACGGCCGGCCCCUAAAUCUAGUGGCGGACCCGUCGUGGCCUCCUCUGCGAAGUAGUGAUAUUCCGCAUCGGAGAGCGAUGAGCCCCUGCCGUUAAACCCCCAACUUUCCAAGGUUGACCUCAGAUCAGGUACGAAUACCCGCUGAACUUAAGCAUAUCAAUAAGCGGAGGA